GUAUUUAGGCUCCUCCCUCUCGUACGCCACUGGUUAGGUAAGAAACAAACUCAGGUUUGGGGGAGAGUGUCAAGAAUCGGGUCAGAUUUAGCCGGCAUGUUCUAGCCGCCCUCAAGGCACGAGAUUCCAUUCCGAUUUCCGAGGCCCAGAAGCUCGAAGCAUCCCAGCUAUGAAGAUGAAGAGACACUCCUAGUUACCAAGUGGCCCGUCCCACUAGUCCAAUUACA
Long non-coding RNA from Cucurbita moschata (crookneck pumpkin), 227 nucleotides. RefSeq lists it as uncharacterized. The transcript is spliced from 3 exons. The record is from RefSeq and is a predicted model, not a curated record. Lineage: Eukaryota; Viridiplantae; Streptophyta; Magnoliopsida; Cucurbitales; Cucurbitaceae.